GACGAACGCUGGCGGCGGGCCGAAGACAGGCAAGGAGAACGCGGAAGAGAGGAGCGGGCGCGGCGGGGAGGAGGGGCGAACGGGGGAGGAACGCGGAGGGAACCGGCCGGGGAGCGGGGGAGAACGAGGGGAAACGAGAGCGAAUACCGCAUAAAAUGGAUUAUCGCAUGAUAAUCCAUUGAAAGGUGCAACUGCAUCACUACCAGAUGGACCUGCGUUGUAUUAGCUAGUUGGUGGGGUAACGGCUCACCAAGGCGACGAUACAUAGCCGACCUGCGAGGGUGCUCGGCCACACUGGGACUGAGACACGGCCCAGACUCCUACGGGAGGCAGCAGUAGGGAAUCUUCGGCAAUGGACGGAAGUCUGACCGAGCAACGCCGCGUGAGUGAAGAAGGUUUUCGGCUCGUCACGCUCUGUUGUCCGCGAAGCACGAGUGUGAGAGUGGAAAGUUCACACUGUGACGGUAUCUUACCAGAAAGGGACGGCUAACUACGUG
RNAcentral lists this ribosomal RNA (497 nucleotides) under uncultured bacterium. RNAcentral's name for it is "partial 16S ribosomal RNA". It matches the Rfam family "Bacterial small subunit ribosomal RNA", at positions 28 to 507 of the family's 1533-position model. The record is from RNAcentral.